Molecule: ribosomal RNA, 215 nt
Filed under: Glomeromycotina sp.
Lineage: Eukaryota; Fungi; Glomeromycota
Description: partial small subunit ribosomal RNA
Source: RNAcentral
GGGUCAGUAGGUUGGUCGUGCCACCGGUACGUACUGGUCUCACUGAUUCCUCCUUCCUGAAGAACCGUAAUGCCAUUAAUUUGGUGUUGCGGGGAAACAGGACUGUUACUUUGAAAAUUUAGAGUGUUUAAAGCAAGCUAACGCUUGAAUACAUUAGCAUGGAAUAAUGAAAUAGGACGAUCGAUCCUAUUUUGUUGGUUUCUAGGAUUGACGUA